Molecule: transfer RNA, 92 nt
Filed under: Deltaproteobacteria bacterium
Lineage: Bacteria; Pseudomonadati; Myxococcota; Myxococcia
Description: tRNA-Ser
Rfam family: tRNA
About the family: Transfer RNA (tRNA) molecules are approximately 80 nucleotides in length. Their secondary structure includes four short double-helical elements and three loops (D, anti-codon, and T loops). Further hydrogen bonds mediate the characteristic L-shaped molecular structure. tRNAs have two regions of fundamental functional importance: the anti-codon, which is responsible for specific mRNA codon recognition, and the 3' end, to which the tRNAs corresponding amino acid is attached (by aminoacyl-tRNA synthetases). tRNAs cope with the degeneracy of the genetic code in two manners: having more than one tRNA (with a specific anti-codon) for a particular amino acid; and 'wobble' base-pairing, i.e. permitting non-standard base-pairing at the 3rd anti-codon position.
Source: RNAcentral
GGAGAGAUGCCGGAGUGGUCGAUCGGGGGCGACUCGAAAUCGUCUAAAGCUUGAGAAAGCUUUCAAGGGUUCGAAUCCCUUUCUCUCCGCCA